Molecule: long non-coding RNA, 249 nt
Filed under: Bos taurus (domestic cattle)
Lineage: Eukaryota; Metazoa; Chordata; Mammalia; Artiodactyla; Bovidae
Description: long non-coding RNA NONBTAT017131
Source: RNAcentral
UGAUGCAUCCUUGGUGGCUUGACGAGGCUCCCUCAGGCCAUCUCCUGUUCUUUUUGUGGGUGUGUGUGUGUGUGUGAUACUCCUAUUUUACGUAAUAGCAUAUUAUAAUCAAAUAAUGUAACUACAGAGUUUUCUAUAGCAUUAUUUUUAGAGACUGUUUAGUUUUUCAUUAUAUUCAUUGAAGUAACCACUAUUAUGAUUUUGCCCUGGCUUUUGCUAGCACGUGAGUUUUACAGGUGCGCUUAUAGC